This 392-nucleotide long non-coding RNA is filed under the name Rattus norvegicus (Norway rat). RNAcentral describes it as "long non-coding RNA NONRATT013171". Lineage: Eukaryota; Metazoa; Chordata; Mammalia; Rodentia; Muridae. The record is from RNAcentral.
ACUGAGAAUAUUUUCAUCUGUCCAUCUGCCCGUGAGUUGCUUGUGCAGACCUUCCAGUGAAGCCAUAGGCUCAAUGGAUGUGAAGUGGGUCCUGUGACUAAUACCACACUGGUCCUUGAGCUACUGCACGAUAACCAGAAGAAACCUAAGCUUCAGCUCUCUGCUGGCUCUCCCUACGCACCACUGACGUCCAGAUCCUUCUCUCCAUCAACUGCAUCCUGCCAUUUGAAAAGAACUUUCUUCUGCUUUGCUGCGGACCCAACCUGGAUUUUCAUGGACGCUAAGCAAACACCCUACCACCGUGUUAACUUCCUACCCCACCCCAUGAUCCUGCCCUUUAAAAGGAAGAGCUAUCAAAUGGAUAAGUAUAUGAUAAAAGUUUUAUCAAGCUA